Long non-coding RNA from Chinchilla lanigera (long-tailed chinchilla), 626 nucleotides. RefSeq lists it as uncharacterized. The transcript has 3 exons. Lineage: Eukaryota; Metazoa; Chordata; Mammalia; Rodentia; Chinchillidae. The record is from RefSeq and is a predicted model, not a curated record.
CUGAAGACAGAUGUAGUAACUCACCCUACCCUUCCAGACCUACAAAGGAUGGGCUUGAACUUGGGCCCAGUCUCAGCCUUUGAGCAUCCAGCAGAAAGCCAUGCACAGAGAUUCUCAUUGCAUUCUUGUUAAAUGAAUGAAUGAUUUGAAGACAGCAUCAUGGGGUAGCCAUUGAACCACCAACAGUCCUCAUUGAGCACAUCUUUUAUCAGCAAUCUUGAAUGCUAGACUGCACUUCUAAGCCUCAGAAGCAAGUAAGCUUGGGCAAGCUGAAGAACACGACAGAGAUGUCCUGCGACAUCCAUCAAGAAGCAAGGGGCUGGUGAAAAUUAUGCUGCAUUCCCAUACUUGCUCUGUGAGGACUCCUCAAAAAUUCUUUUUGCAAGUCGAGUAGAAGAUCUUGGUACAUCAUGAUGGUAGCUGAAUGGAAGUAACUUGUAGCUGGUAGCCAGCAGAGCCUAGUACCAAUCUCCAUUCAUAACUGUGAGCAGAAUUUGUCAGGGUGUAAUGCCCAAGAGUCCCCAUCCCUCACUUGGGGAUGGUGGCCUUUGAAGAAAAUUACUUCAUUUGUAAAGAAGCUCUGACUUUUUAGAAGUAUUAAUACAGUCAAUAAAAUCCCACAUUUU